Molecule: ribosomal RNA, 305 nt
Filed under: uncultured bacterium
Lineage: Bacteria
Description: bacterial SSU rRNA
Rfam family: Bacterial small subunit ribosomal RNA
Source: RNAcentral
UUCCUACGGGGGGCAGCAGUGAGGAAUAUUGGUCAAUGGGCUUACGCCUGAACCAGCCAAGUCGCGUGAGGGAAGACUGCCCUAUGGGUUGUAAACCUCUUUUGUCAGGGAACAAAGGCGGGGACGCGUCCCCGGAUGAGUGUACCUGAAGAAAAAGCAUCGGCUAACUCCGUGCCAGCAGCCGCGGUAAUACGGAGGAUGCGAGCGUUAUCCGGAUUUAUUGGGUUUAAAGGGUGCGCAGGCGGUCUGUUAAGUCAGCGGUCAAAGCCCGGGGCUCAACCCCGGCCCGCCGUUGAAACUGGCAG